This is a long non-coding RNA of Ailuropoda melanoleuca (giant panda), 4088 nucleotides long. RefSeq lists it as uncharacterized. The transcript has 5 exons. Lineage: Eukaryota; Metazoa; Chordata; Mammalia; Carnivora; Ursidae. The record is from RefSeq and is a predicted model, not a curated record.
CCUGCAGCGACUUGGCUCUGGUUGUGCCUCACUGCGCCUGCCAACUGUCACACACUCCUCCGAGGCUGUCAAAAGCAGGACGUCGGGUGCAAACAAGCCGGCGGCGACCGCAAACAGCCUGGGCAAACAGGGACGACGGGGGUGUCGUUUGACCCGUACGGAAUUAGAAAUUAUGUUUUAAAGAAGUGAAAUCGAAGUGCAAUAUUGUAUUUUAAAAUGUCAACUGUAUUAAAUCGCCCACUUUCCAUUCCAUCUUUAAAACCUCCAGUGGAUACCAAUCGCAGUUAAAAUAAAAGUGAAACUCCUGGUCUAACUCCGGGUCCUCCUCUACACGUGCUAUUGAUGCUUUGGCCACAGAGGCCUUCUUGCGGUUCCUGGAAGUCCGCGAGUUCCAUUCAGCAUUGUUAACCAUUCCUCUUGUAUGCUUCUUGCGCAAGAAUGAUUCCGUCUGCCUGGUACUUUGCCUGCUGGUAUCUUCUUGUCCUUAAGUCUCAGCUCAUAUGUCACCUCUGCAGAGAGCCUUUCCCUGACCACACAACGGAAAAUAGCCACAAACAGUCUCCUCUCUAAAGACUGGGCCGUGCUUUUCUUCACAGGACUCAUCACUCUCUGAAACAAUGCUUCUAUUUGUUGUUUCAUUAUUAUCAAUCUUCCUCUCAAGAAUGCGAGCUCCAUGAAAGCAGAGUUAUUACCUUUUUAAGGGCUGUAUCCUAACCCAAGAAGGGAGCUGAAAGAACACGUGUCCCCUGCCGCCAUGAAUUAAAGGACUCAGUAGAACUUCUCCAGGAGUCUACACUGUUACCCACCCCGCCCUCCCUCUGCCUGCGUCCGACGAAACCCAAGCAAGAACAGGGGAAGAUGUGGUGAGAUAUUCAAAGUAAAUAAAGCUUAGAGAAAGGCCAGCCUCGUGAAUAGACAGAAGUAAUGAACGACUUAUUUGAAGCUUCCGAAAGUUCUCCCUGCCCAAAUUCUCUUCCCCACCAGUUUGCCGCAGCACCUAAAAUGUCACUGACCACAUCCCUGGGCUCAGGGUGAAGGCCUGGAGGGAGUGAGCAGAAUGGGGAAGGACGUCACUUUCUCACGGUAGCUUCAAGAGCAUACAGGCUUAGGACAGGACCGCCAGUACCUGGCCGUAGACAAGGAAUCCUUCCGCCCCUUUCUUCACCUCCUGUCUCAGCUGGGUGCAAGGGACCAAAUUCCAGGCCUGCUUUUCUUCGAGAUCUGCCAACAGAGAGGUUUUUAUCACUGCAGAAAGUGACUGUGCCUGUCGUGAUGUACAGAGAACAGCAGGAUCGGAUUCGGGUGUGAAUUCUGCGUGGUUGGGCAGGUCCACUCAAGGGCCAAGGGGCUCCUCCUCUCACAUCAGUUCGUUAUAAUUCUAAUUCAUGCCUCAGGGAAAUGACCAACUACUCAAGUUCUAGAUAUCGAGUCCCUUCCCCCCCCAGUCAAAACUGUGAAUAUUGAAUCCAUGGCUGAUGAAAGCCUAUUAUAUGCUUAUUUUUUGAUGACCUCCUGGAAGGCAAUGAUAUCAAUCACCAAAUAUGACAGUACUGUGCUGAGUGCACACAGUGUUUAGAAAGGUGGAUGUCAACCCUCAGAACUCAUCCCUGAUUUAAAGCAUCUUUGAGAGUGAUUAUUUGGGAUGCCAUAUUUCUAAACGCUGAUCUGAUCUGGUCUUGCUGUGCCUGAAAAGACAGAUUCUGGGGCAGGUUUUUUGCCAAACUUACAGUGUAAUUGAACUUUGAGAACAUUGAACGGCAAGUAAAAGAAACAAACCUGAGUGUUAGUGGUAGGAAAAGUUUUUGAUUCCUGCUUCCCCCCCCUUUCUGUCUCACACACACACACACACACACACACACACACACACCACACUUACAAAGCCUGACCCACAGAGCCAUAGGCCAUCCUCCCUUCCUGGUGUCACAGUCCUCUUCCUUUGGCUGCUCCCCAUUGCCAGUGAAAUUUCUGGGGCUCUCCAGACUACACAGCAGGCAAUUGUCGAGUGAAGAUAUGGUGAUUGUGCUGCGGCAGCCUUAUCGAUGAGUCUGUCAAAAAAUGGAGUUAGUCCUCGGGGCUGCUUAUCUGAAAUUGAGUGACGUUAUCACACUUACUUAAAUCAAGUUGGUUGAUUAGAAAUGUAGUUCAGGUUUAGGCUUCAUUGGAAUUUAGGUCAGUCAACUUCAAACAAUGCAUGGGAAGAAAAGGGAAAAAACCCUUCACGUUUGCCAUGGGACACAAAGGACACUACCUUCCAUUAAGUGACUAGUGGAGCUAGUGGGUUAUAAAGUUGAGACUGUAAUUUGUUACCUCUCUUGAAAUUACAUGCGGCUGAGAGCCAAUUCAGUCAGCCUUAAUCCAAAAGAGCGGGUUUAGCGGAAGGAUGCCGGUUGGCCCGGGGGCCUGAAGACCCAGCCUCAGGAAGGAGCAGCCUCAGGCCAUGAGGGUGAGCUCGGAAAAUACGCACAACAAAGGGAUCUCUCAAACUCUGCCUCUUACUUCUUUUUGUCCUCUUUGGUGUGGGGUUCAUUUUCUCAGGCAUUGUCCCACAAUGGGAAUUUGGCUGUCAACUCUAAGGCCAUAUUCUUCUAGCACUGGCACCACAAAGAAAAAGGCUUCCCUGCCAGCCUCAGCCAGAAUAAUGCUGGGCAAGGCCUCCGAUUGCCCUGGCUUUUGUCAUGUGCCAAUUCUUGUGAGACAGGGAAACUGAAGGGACUCUAUGAAGAACAGCUUUUUUUGCUCCUUUUCCUGCUUCUUUUCUUGCUGGGACCUGAUCCCCACCUUACACAUGACUUAUCGUACGGUGAAUGUAGGUCCUCCUUGGAAAGGCCAAGGAGUUAACGAUUUUUUUGGGGGGGGGGACUCUUCUUGCAAAAUAGAUAACAUCUAAGAAGUGACCAGUUGAGGUCAUCCUGUAUGUUUUCCAGAUACCUUGAUGCCAAGACCCCUGGCUCCAGGGCCUAAGUGACUUCUGGAGGACACUUGAGCUCUCGGCCUUGUUUUGACCAGUUCCUAGAUGCCUGAGAGGACAUGUACCCCAGACCACAAUUCUCAGGAAAACCCCCAGCCCCCAAGCAAAGAUGAGACUCCUUUCCAAGGAGUCUCCUCUCCUUUCCAAGUUUCCCGGACGCUCUGUCUGCAUAUCUAGUCUCUCUACAUCUACAGUAAAUUCUGCUCUCACUUCCUCUUGGCUUCUGAUUUAUUCCUAUCCUGCAUGAAGCCAAGGACCGUUUCGGUGGGUCCCGCAGGACCCCCUCUGGGUUCUCAGACCCAGCCAGCCUAUGUCACUUGGACUAAUCACCGUGGCCAGGGAAUGGGGUUGCUACUUUCAUCCUAGACUGAGAUUGAGUCAUGUGACGAUGCAUUUACCAGGAGGGGAAGAACGGUGCUGAUGUACAAAAGCAGGGAGAAAAGCCCCUAGAGACAUUCACAGGUAAUAAAUCAUAACUCGAUGCUUGGCAAUGUGUUUAUGUCACAGAGGUAAAUAUUCAUCAUGCACCCAAGUGCCCCGUGCCUCUCAUUAGAUUUACAAUCAGUUUUCCAAUUAUUAUUUUUUGUCCAUAAAAACAUUCAAAAUUACUUGAGAUCACCUUAUCAUUUUUUUAAUUUGUUCAGUUUCAAUAGGGUUUUCCAUACAGUUUAAUAUUUGUGGUGAAUUUUGUGACUGGCUUACUCAGUACGUCUUCCAACCUUGUUUCAGAAUUCUUCACUCCACGGCAGAGUCGGGAAAGCAAAUACUUCUUUUCCCAGAUCUCCUUGCUCCUAGGUUCUGGGUAUGCAUUCAGCUCUAUCAAAGAGAAGCAUGGGCAGGACAGCUGAAUUUGAAACUGAGUGUUAACUGGGGAGAGAGACCCAGCCCGAGAUACUGAUUUUGCUGGACAGACUGUAAUAUCAUGACAUGGUUCCGAAGCCGGCACUUGUCCUAGCAGCUGCCCAGUUUAGCAGAUGGCUUCUGAGCUGUGGCAAGAGAACUCGUUUUAGUGGUGGCCAAGUUCUACAUUAUGGCUUUGGAAUGUGUUCUUCGAAGCUCCCCCUAGCGUAUGUUUUUAAAAACCUUCCCAAUGAUUAUGUAAGUCAUGUAAAAGGCGGCA